RNAcentral lists this ribosomal RNA (473 nucleotides) under uncultured bacterium. RNAcentral describes it as "bacterial SSU rRNA". It matches the Rfam family "Bacterial small subunit ribosomal RNA", at positions 1 to 524 of the family's 1533-position model. The record is from RNAcentral.
UAGAGUUUGAUCCUGGCUCAGAGCGAACGCUGGCGGCAGGCCUAACACAUGCAAGUCGAGCGCGUGUAGCAAUACACGAGCGGCAGACGGGAGAGUAACACGUGGGAACGCGCCCUUCGGUUCGGAAUAACGCAGGGAAACUUGCGCUAAUACCGGAUACGCCCUUACGGGGAAAGAUUUAUCGCCGAAGGAACGGCCCGCGUCUGAUUAGCUAGUUGGUGAGGUAAUGGCUCACCAAGGCGACGAUCAGUAGCUGGUCUGAGAGGAUGACCAGCCUCACUGGGACUGAGACACGGCCCAGACUCCUACGGGAGGCAGCAGUGGGGAAUAUUGGACAAUGGGCGCAAGCCUGAUCCAGCCAUGCCGCGUGGAUGAUGAAGGCCCUAGGGUUGUAAAGUCCUUUUAACGGGGAAGAUAAUGACGGUACCCGUAGAAUAAGCCCCGGCUAACUUCGUGCCAGCAGCCCCGGUCAA